Molecule: transfer RNA, 72 nt
Filed under: Camelus bactrianus (Bactrian camel)
Lineage: Eukaryota; Metazoa; Chordata; Mammalia; Artiodactyla; Camelidae
Also listed under: 2 other names
Rfam family: tRNA
About the family: Transfer RNA (tRNA) molecules are approximately 80 nucleotides in length. Their secondary structure includes four short double-helical elements and three loops (D, anti-codon, and T loops).
Source: Rfam by way of RNAcentral
AAGGGUAUAGCUCAGUGGUAGAGUGUGUGUUUAGCAUGCAUGAGGUCCUGGGUUCGGUCCCCAGUACCUCCA